UACGUAGGGGGCAAGCGUUAUCCGGAUUUACUGGGUGUAAAGGGAGCGUAGACGGCUAAAUAAGUCAGAUGUGAAAGCCCAGGGCUCAACCCUGGGACUGCAUUUGAAACUAUAUAGCUAGAGUGCAGGAGAGGUAAGUGGAAUUCCUAGUGUAGCGGUGAAAUGCGUAGAUAUUAGGAGGAACACCAGUGGCGAAGGCGGCUUACUGGACUGUAACUGACGUUGAGGCUCGAAAGCGUGGGGAGCAAAC
This 250-nucleotide ribosomal RNA is filed under the name uncultured bacterium. RNAcentral's name for it is "partial 16S ribosomal RNA". It matches the Rfam family "Bacterial small subunit ribosomal RNA", at positions 524 to 773 of the family's 1533-position model. The record is from RNAcentral.